This 102-nucleotide microRNA precursor is filed under the name Marmota monax (woodchuck). Lineage: Eukaryota; Metazoa; Chordata; Mammalia; Rodentia; Sciuridae. The record is from RNAcentral.
AGUGCAAUUGCUGGGUUGCAUGGAAAUUGCAUGUUUAGUUCUCGAGGAAACUGCCAAACUGUUUUCCAGGGAGGCCAUGCCAUUCCUCAUGCCACCAGCAAU